UCCGGUGAAGUGUUCGGAUC
Molecule: non-coding RNA, 20 nt
Filed under: Arabidopsis thaliana (thale cress)
Lineage: Eukaryota; Viridiplantae; Streptophyta; Magnoliopsida; Brassicales; Brassicaceae
Source: RNAcentral